This 243-nucleotide ribosomal RNA is filed under the name uncultured cyanobacterium. RNAcentral's name for it is "partial 16S ribosomal RNA". It matches the Rfam family "Bacterial small subunit ribosomal RNA", at positions 800 to 1041 of the family's 1533-position model. The record is from RNAcentral. Lineage: Bacteria; Bacillati; Cyanobacteriota.
CUGUAAACGAUGGAUACUAGGUGUAGUGGGUAUCGACCCCUGCUGUACCGUAGCUAACGCGUUAAGUAUCCCGCCUGGGGAGUACGCACGCAAGUGUGAAACUCAAAGGAAUUGACGGGGGCCCGCACAAGCGGUGGAGGAUGUGGUUUAAUUCGACGCAACGCGAAGAACCUUACCAGGGCUUGACAUGUAGAGAACCGCUGUGAAAGCAGUGGGUGCCGCAAGGAGCUCUAACACAGGUGG